ACCACCCGUUGACAACCUUCUGCUUGAAACUUAUCUUUUUAACGCUGUAUCAAUGUUUCCCUAAUAUUAUAUUUAUAAAAUUGCUUCUCAAGUUGGUAUAAAAUUUAAAACUAGAAAAACGAAAUAACUUUAAAGAAAAAUUAUCCAUUUUAAUAACCUAUAUUAUUUAAUUACAAUCGCAACUUUAAAGCACUAUAACUUUUGAACCACACGCUUCCGCUCAAAAAUUUUUACAUAUUCUUAAUCAGCAUAAAAAAACGAACGUUUUGAAAAAAAAAAUUUUGAAAAAAAAAGGGUGUCCCGUAAAGUAGAUUUAUACCAAUUUUUUUUUAAUACUAUCUUUAGUUACACAUUAUUCUUGAAUUAUUAACUAUGUAAUACUUUUUAAAUUCAUCCCUUAUGCCUUGUAAGGUUUCAGCCAAACAGAGGGCCUACUAAUUACCCACUGCCCAGGGGGAACACUGGACAGUGACCUAGUAGCCGCGACAAACAAGAUAUUACUUGCUGACGGAGCUACUAGGUUUUGAUAAAAACAAAAAAACCAAUAUUAAUGAAAAUGAGGGAAAAGUAUAGAGAAAAAAAAGAGGCCAUGUAUAAUAUAACAACAUUUUUUUAAUUAUUUAGUUAAAAAAAUGUAUAAUUACUAUUUAAGAUAUAGAUAUAGUCAUAGGAAAGAAGAAAGAAAAAAGAAAAGGAGGUGCUUGAUACACAAAUUAAAAGGGGGUAAAAGGGGUUUCUUGAUGUUGUACUUGUUUGUUGAUUGAAGGGUGACGGCCCACCACCGGCCAUGGCUACGCCUCACAUCCCCAUCAUCAUCAUCUCGACAUUUAUUUUAAUAAAAAAAAAAAACGGAGGACAAAAAAAAUUACAGCCUGGUUGACUCCAAAGUAGACAGCAGGUCGACUCGACGUUUAUUUUAUAAAAAAAAAAACGGAGGACAAAAAAAAAUGCAAAAACGUGGUUUUUUUCAGAAACACAGCGGACAACUUGUCGCCUCUGCAGUACAGGUGGAAAAAAAAAAAUGUUGUAGCGGCAGUUGUGUAGUGGCCGGUGAUCGUGA
This is a long non-coding RNA of Daktulosphaira vitifoliae (grape phylloxera), 1060 nucleotides long. RefSeq lists it as uncharacterized. Lineage: Eukaryota; Metazoa; Arthropoda; Insecta; Hemiptera; Phylloxeridae. The transcript has 2 exons. The record is from RefSeq and is a predicted model, not a curated record.